This 555-nucleotide ribosomal RNA is filed under the name Triticum aestivum (bread wheat). RNAcentral's name for it is "partial small subunit ribosomal RNA". The record is from RNAcentral. Lineage: Eukaryota; Viridiplantae; Streptophyta; Magnoliopsida; Poales; Poaceae.
AUGGAUAAUGAAACAACAGAUGUGCCCUGGGCUGAACUCAUUUGGGAUACAUACUAUGGUUCUUCGGCACCCCAAGCCACUAAGGCCUGUGGCUCUUUCUGGUGGCGCGAUGUGUUAAAAUUAUAUGACAAAUUUUGUCAGCUUUUUGUCCCAAAGGUUCAUUCUGGUGAACCUGUGCUUUUCUGGCUUGAUCAUUGGCAACUCCAGGGAAGAAAUACUCCCAUGAAAGAUCGUUGCCCCCGACUGCACUCUUUCGUGUUGGAUGACAUGCUUACUGUCAAACCCUCGAUGAUCUACCAUCCAUGGCACAUUACUGUGGAUCCAAUUGUUAAGUGUAUAUGGAAGUGUUCCUGCACGCUCAAGAUCAAAGUCUUUGGUUGGCUACUCCUGGUGGAUAGGCUUAACACAAGAGAUAUGAUGCAAAGCCGACAUUGGACUAUGCAAGAUGAUACUUGUGGUGUUUGCCAGACUCUCACACAUGAGGAUCGAGCACAUAUGUUCUUUUUUUUAACUUCAGCCAGUUGGAAUUAUCUUGGGAUUACUUGGGCAUCAUAA